Molecule: small nucleolar RNA, 72 nt
Organism: Panthera pardus (leopard)
Lineage: Eukaryota; Metazoa; Chordata; Mammalia; Carnivora; Felidae
Source: Ensembl
UGGAUCGAUGAUGACCACUGGUGGCGUAUGAGUCGUUCACGAUGAAUACGUGUCUGGAACUCUGAGGUCCAA